Mirounga angustirostris (Northern elephant seal) is the source of this 4150-nucleotide long non-coding RNA. RefSeq lists it as uncharacterized. The record is from RefSeq and is a predicted model, not a curated record. The transcript is spliced from 3 exons. NCBI's taxonomy places the organism in Eukaryota, Metazoa, Chordata, Mammalia, Carnivora, Phocidae.
GAAUCUUAAGCAGGCUCCAUGCCCAGUGCAGAGCCCAACGCUGGGCUCAAUCUCAUGACCCUGAGAUCACGACCUGAGCCACAAUCAAGAGUCUGACGCUUAGCCGACUGAGCCACCAGGCUCCCCUAGAGUAUAAAUUUAGACAUCAAAUAAAUAAAAUGGUUCCAGGGAAUAAAUAUAAAAGCUGUUGAGCUGACUCAGGUGAUCUCUCCUAAGAGAACAGGAUCUAUUCUCCAGGCCAGCCCACAGGCUGAAGCAAAGGGGAAGCAUUCUGGAAAGUGCAUUUUUGGACUAUAUACAGAAACUAAAAGGUGUAGCCAUGGAUAAGCAAUCAGAGCAUGAGACGUUCAUUUGGAUCCAUUCCAACAGACAAAAUGAGAGGACUUCUCUGGUGUCCCUCUGAGGUAGAUUUGGACUAAAAUCCUUUGAAGGAACUUUUGUUUCAUAAAUGUCAUACAAGAUUGCCAUGGCAAGAUGCUAACGGGUUGCCAAACCUAAGACUCUUGAAAAAUAAUUAUCUUGGAAACACCUGAGUGCAGGAGUAUAGUUUUAUUAGUAGAUCAAACACUUGUGGCUGCUCACAUAGAUUUUGAGGCCUAUUGUCCUUCUGAGAAUGUAGUUUAGGGAAAGAACAGAACAGAAAAGAUAAAACAACAAAGGAGUUUGUUUUUAAGACAAAAAGUUAGUCAGAAAGAGUCUAGGAGCUGCUAUUUCCUGGCCUGAUGCUGUGCUGUCUGUGAGGUAUGAUGUAGAAUGUGUAGAAUGAGCGCUUGAAGUAGGGUUUGGUUUUCUUUUACUUUGUUUUCCCCGUGGUGGAAAAAUCUCUGUCAUGAUUCCACUAGGCUUGCUGGCCUGGUCAUCUUGUGAGCAAAUCAUACAUGUAAAUGCACUGGCUCUUCCCUCUUAUCAACCCUAGUACUUGGCUAAAGAAUAGUCUGGGGUUAUCUCCCAGUUCACAAGUUCAGUUUCUAAUUCUGUCUUCACUAUUGGGCCUGAGGAGACCACCGCUGCAUCUUACUUCUUGGGUUUUCAUUUGCUAUUUUAAUUGUCCAAUCUUCUUAUUUCAGUGAAUAAUACAGCUGGUGAAUCUUAGAGGAAUAUGGGCAUGUCACAAGGACAUAAAAGCCUGUUCUGUGUGACCUCAGUGAGUUGCUAAUGUCACUGGCCAAAUAAAGACCUAGGUGUCAAGCUACUUCCUCCCACCCUUUUGUUCACCCCACAGCCACACUGAGGAACCUCAAGGAGACUCUUCCCAAGUUCACAUUCUCUUUCCUUGUGCAGAUGUGACCUGUAGCUACUCAGUAUGUCAGUGACUCUCUUGAGGACUUGGGAAUCUCAAAAGAUUUGAGGAGAAAAAUAAUUGAAUUGAAGGACUUUUACAGCCCCAUCUGUAAGUGUAAUACCAACGAAAUCCUGACCUGAAUACGUUGUUGAAAAAUGUCUCCGGUUCCAGAGGAAAUUCUACUGAAAGCAUCAAUCAUGCUGUUGGAAUUUGAUUUAUCUGGAACAAAGAACUUUAAACCUCCUGAAAUACAUGAUCGGGAUGUUAACGAUUAAAAUGUAUAAAAUAAAACAAAAAAAUAACAAGUUAGGUCUUUUCCAACAACCUUUCUUAUGAAAGAGGGCUAGUGUUGGGGAAGGAGUUGUGCUUGACUUGCUUUGUGUGGCAUCCUACCAGCCACAUGGUAAGCUCAGAGGUGAGUGGUUUUGUCUGUUUUGUUCACAGCUGUAAUGUCAAGGUCUAAACGUCUAUCUGGUACAGGAUAAAAACUCAGUAAAUAUUUAUUAAAUAGUCUUGUAAUUAAGGUAAUUUGUAGAGAGCCUAGGGUAAUUGCCAUCUAUCAUUGGUAUAUAUUUACAUUUACAUUUAUAUUCUGAUAACAUUGUUUUCAAAGAUAAUUCAAUAAAAUCUAACUUUCAGUUUUUAAGUCAGCAAUACUCAUUUUUAUUGACUAAGGAAUAGAAGGUAAAAUUAUUCCAUGCCUCAUUUGGAACAAAGAAAAUAUGUAUCUUACAAUAUGGUAUGUGUCCUUAUGGAAAUUAGUGCAUUUAAUCUUUUUAAAAAAAUUCUUUUAUUGUUAUGUUAAUCACCAUACAUUACACCAUUAGUUUUAGAUGUAGUGUUCCAUGAUUCAUUGUUUGUGCAUAACACCCAGUGCUCCAUGCAUAACGUGCCCUCUUUAAUACGCAUCACCAGGCUAACCCAUCCUCCCACUCCCCUCCCCUAGAACCCUCAGUUGGUUUUUCAGAGUCCAUCGUCUCUCAUGGUUCGUCUCCCCCUCCGAUUUCCCCCCCUUCAUUCUUCCCCUCCUGCUAUCUUCUUCUUUUUUUUUUUUCUUGACAUGUAUUGCAUUAUUUGUUUCAGAGGUACAGAUCUGAGAUUCAACAGUCUUAGUGCAUUUAAUCUUAAACAUAUUUUUAGCUCUGUGAUUAUACAUGCUCAGAUUGGUUUAACAAAGAAAUGGUAAAAUUAUAUUUUCAAUGGAUGUAUAUAAUUGGCACCUUCUAAGGAAAAUGUUUAAAAGUCAGCAAAAUUUGGGGCAUUUGGGUGGCUCAGUUGGUUGAGUAUCCAACUCUUGAUUUUGGCUCAGGUCAUGAUCUCAGGGUUUUGAGAUUGAGGCCAGUGUUGAGCUUUACUGGGCGUGGAGCCUGCUUGGGAUUCUCUGUCUUCCUCUCCCUCUGCCCCUCCCCCACCCCUCUCUCCCCCCUCUCUAAAAAAAAAAAAUCCACAAAAUUUUGGCAGAUUUUAACAAUGAUUUUUAUGUUGUUUUCCUUAAGAUAACUGUUUCUAUUUUUUUUCACUUAAGCCACACAUUCUAUCGACAUAAUCUGAGCUUCAUGGUUGUGCUUUGAAUAUUCAAGUUAAAGGAAAUGCUCUAAAAUACAAGGUUUUUAAAAUAUAUUUACCUGUAUGACGUGAUAAUUCCUCCAGAUUUUUGACCACGGAUGAACCCAGGGCAAUGGAAUGAAUGGUUGAACCACUGCUGAGCACGACUCAUGUCUGAAGCCUCAAAUUCUGUGGAAAAUAUCUGGAUGAAAAGAGAUAAUCAGAUCCAGCAAUCUCACUCCUUGGUAUUUACCUAAAGGAAUCGAAAACAUAUGUCCACAUAAAAACCUCCAUGCAGAUGUUUAUAGCAGCCUUAUUCAUAAUUGCCAAAACUUGGAAGCAAAUGAGAUGUCCUUUAGUAGGUGAGUGGAUAAAUAAACUAUGGUACAUCCAGACAAUGGAAUAUUAUGGAAAUGAGAUAUUAAGCCAUGGAAAACAUGGAGGAAACUUAAAUGCAUGCUACCAAGUAAAAGAAACCAAUCUGAAAAGGACACAUACUGUAUGAUUCCAAUUAUAUGACAUGGUGGCAAAGGCAAAACUAUAGAGACAGUAAAAAGAUCAAUGCUUGCUAAGGCUUUGGGGAAAAGGAGAGAUGAAAAGGCAAAGCAUAGGGAAUUUUUAGGGCAGUGAAAAUACUCCUUAUAAUGUUGUAAUAGUGAAUGCAACAUCCUUAUGUAGUUGUCCAAACUCAGAAUGUGCAACACCAAGAGUGAACCCUAAUGUAAACUAUGGACUCUGGGUAGUAAUGAUUUGUCAAACCAGCUUCAUCAGUUGUAACAAAUGUUCUGUCUGGUGGGAGAUGUUGAUAGUGAGGGAGACUAUGUAUGUGUGUGGACAGGGAAUAUAUGGCAUGUCUUUGAAUCUUCCCCCAAUUUAGCUGUGAACCCAAAACUUCUCUAAAAAAGAAAGUCUAAAAAAAGAGAGAGAUAAUCAUUCUUGAUUUUCUGUCAUGUGCUUUACACCUUAGAGCAACUGUUGUUUACUAAUACCUAUCACCUAUAGGACACUUACGAUUUGAUCAGACAGGGCUAUGUGCUCUACAAAUAUGACCUCAAUCAUCACAACAAUCCUAUCAGGCAGGUAGAAUUAUUCUUUAAUUUUUUGGGGGGGGCGGUGGGGAAAACACAACUUAGAGAAGUAACUUGCCCAGGACUUGUGGUUAGAAAACAUGAAUACAGGUUGGUAUGGUUCCAAAGGCUUUGCUCUUUUUUUUUUUUUUAAAGAUUUUAUUUAUUUAUUUGAGACAGAGAGAAUGAGAGAGACAGAGAGCACAUGAGAGGGGGGAGAGUCAGAGGGAGAAGCAGGCUCCCUGCCGAGCAGGGG